CAAAGCACACAUUAUAUUUCCCUUAUAUUUGAAUCUAGACAGAAUUACAAAAAACCUCCUUAUAAACACCUGUUUUUUUACUUUUUCUUCCUAAUUUUUAAAACCUACAUUUUAUUCUCUCAAUAUUUCAAAUUGUUAUAUUAGGCCCUCCUCCGCUAGGGUUACAUCACUUUUCCGCCUAUUUCUUAUAAUUAUACUGAAAAAAUAUUUCAAAAUUACAAAAAUACAUUAAAAAAAAUUGUUUAUAGAAGAAACAAAGAUAAUUUGAUAAUUUUGCCCUCUCCAUUAAUACAGUAUUCUCCUGAAAAUAUUUCUGAAAUUUUAAGGGGACAAUGUAGGUUUUUGAAAGUCAGAAAGACAAAGUGAAAAAACGGAUAUUUAUAACGAGAUUUUCUAUAAUUUAACCUUUUAAUCUAUGUAUAGAACAACUACAGCACUACUGAAACUGUGUGCAACUAAACAACCCCUUAAAGGAGGGAAGAAGAGAAAGAAAAAUGGCUAAAUAAUUUUUACAUCAAUUUCAUUAACUAUUAACUAAGAAAAUUUUACUAAGGGUGUCAACGAGUCGAACAUAAGCGAGCUGAGGCCGGCUAGUGUUCGGGCCGGCUAGUGUUCACGAGCUGACUCAUGAACAAUAAGUUAAGGUAUUGUUUGGUUCGGGGAUAAGCAAAAAGUGGAUAUUCUAGGGAUAGGUAUAAAUUAAGUGAUAAGCGGGGAUUAGAUCAAUUUUGCGUUUGGAUGAAAAUUGGAUUAUUUUUGGGAAUAAGAAAAGUAAUGGGUUUUUAUAAAUAAAAAAUAAUGAUAUUAUUCUCUUAUUAUAUUUGAAUUUGAAUUUUUAAAAUUUUAAAAUUUUAACUUUGAAAUUU
RNAcentral lists this long non-coding RNA (866 nucleotides) under Ananas comosus (pineapple). RNAcentral describes it as "long non-coding RNA (ACOM_LNC024540)". The record is from RNAcentral. Lineage: Eukaryota; Viridiplantae; Streptophyta; Magnoliopsida; Poales; Bromeliaceae.